GGUGGCUCUCCAUUUCUAAAUGACUGGCAGAAAAGAGACAACCUUGGGAAGCCAUCCAGUUCCUCUUGCAUAGGUAAUUCCAAGCCAGCAGCCUAUUGUUAAUAAUUGCUAGCCACAUGGAUUUUAACUUUCUCUGGGACUGGGCACUUCCACAGAGAGUUGGCAUUGACUAUCUGAAAUGAGUCCUCCAUUGUUGAUAAACUUACUGAAGAAUCUAACUGAGAAUAUAAGAGUCAUCCCAUCUCCACCUGCAAAUGACAUUCCCUGAGGUAAGACAGACCUCUUCAAGUAUGUUUCAUAAUUUGGGUUAAGUCAUCCUCUACCAAAAUUUAGAAGAUUAUAAGGUUCGGCAGACCGUAAUUUUCUACCGUUGCUGAUUCCAGCUUGUUUGUAGACCAGACCAUCCUCUUUAUCACAUAUUUUAAAAAGCCUAGGGAAUUAAGUACACAGAAGGUGUCUGCCAACCAUCAACCCUAGAACCAACUGGACGACUUCUACAACCUGAGGCAGAUCUCCUUCUUUAAUAGUAGUGGCUUAUCACGAUCUGGUUCCUCCCAGGCGGUUUUGUACCUUGUAAGAUUUUCACCACCACUUACCUAGCAAGGCAAUGUCGAAAUGCAUUGAGGUUUUUAUCAUCCAAGCCUUCCUCUCCCUUCUCUUUACAGUGUUCGUGACUCUCAACAGAAAGCUUCUUAGGGAUGAAGAUAAUCGACAUAAAACACGUUGGCCAUCUACUUUUUCUGGACUUAACCUUUAUUCAUCAAGAUUGUUUAGCAUGUCUUCCACAAUAUGAGAUUUUUGAUGGUGAUUUAGGAAGCUAUUCUUAAUCUGUAAGCUGUACUUGUGCUUCUUGAUGUAAUUCUGACUGUUCAUAACUGUUUCUCAAGUCAAAAUGUUUAAAAACUCAAUUUUCCAGGUGUUAUUUAUAUAUCAGACUUCUAAUGUUUCUGUUUACCUGGAUAUGAAGGUCUUAGCUCACUUGGAUGGAGCUCGCAAUCCAUUUCCAUCCUCAUUAUACGAUUUCUAUGUUCUUAUUGAGACCACUGGUAGUGACGAGUCAUAUGAUAAGUAAGUCAGACACCUCGAUAUUUGACAAUCACGACCUCUGUUUAUUGUGUAACAUGCUUUCUCUAAUAUGUACCUUAUAUCAUGUUAUUCAAGGCAUUUAUCCUUUCUUGUUUUUGUUUAGUUUCCAACUUAUGUUUUUUUUGAAUUUCCGAGCAAUGACAACCUCAUGUAAUAUAACUGGUGGCUCCUUGCAGAUUAUGUCAGUAUAAAAACUUGUAUGUUUUUUCUUAUUGCUAAUGUAGGUAAUUUCUUUUGGGAAAUAGUGGAACCACAUGUAUAUUGCUAUAAAAGAAAAGACGACACUAUGAUAAUCGAGCCUUUGCUCUUCGGCGACAUUACUAUGGUUGGAAGAAAAAGAUACCGAGUAGACAAACCAUGAAAAGGAAGCAAGCAGACCUAAGACACAAAGU
Molecule: long non-coding RNA, 1478 nt
Filed under: Phoenix dactylifera (date palm)
Lineage: Eukaryota; Viridiplantae; Streptophyta; Magnoliopsida; Arecales; Arecaceae
Description: long non-coding RNA (PDAC_LNC004405)
Source: RNAcentral